This 494-nucleotide ribosomal RNA is filed under the name uncultured bacterium. RNAcentral describes it as "partial 16S ribosomal RNA". It matches the Rfam family "Bacterial small subunit ribosomal RNA", at positions 28 to 507 of the family's 1533-position model. The record is from RNAcentral.
GACGAACGCUGGCGGCGUGCUUAACACAUGCAAGUCGAACGGUGAAGCGCCUUCCUUUUUGGUGGGUGUGGAUGAGUGGCGAACGGGUGAGUAACACGUGAGUAACCUGCCCCCUUCUUCUGGAUAACCGCAUGAAAGUGUGGCUAAUACGGGAUAUUCUGGGUCUGUCGCAUGAUGGGUCUGGGAAAGAUAUUGUUUCGGUGGGGGAUGGGCUCGCGGCCUAUCAGCUUGUUGGUGGGGUGAUGGCCUACCAAGGCGGUGACGGGUAGCCGGCCUGAGAGGGUGGACGGUCACAAUGGGACUGAGACACGGCCCAGACUCCUACGGGAGGCAGCAGUGGGGAAUAUUGCACAAUGGGCGCAAGCCUGAUGCAGCGACGCCGCGUGAGGGAUGGAGGCCUUCGGGUUGUGAACCUCUUUCGCCAGUGAAGCAGGCCUGCCUCGUUUGUGGGUGGGUUGACGGUAGCUGGAUAAGAAGCGCCGGCUAACUACGUG